RNAcentral lists this ribosomal RNA (437 nucleotides) under uncultured bacterium. Its description in RNAcentral is "bacterial SSU rRNA". It matches the Rfam family "Bacterial small subunit ribosomal RNA", at positions 1068 to 1503 of the family's 1533-position model. The record is from RNAcentral.
UGAGAUGUUGGGUUAAGUCCCGUAACGAGCGCAACCCUUGUCCCUUAGUUACCAGCACGUUAUGGUGGGCACUCUAAGGAGACUGCCGGUGACAAACCGGAGGAAGGUGGGGAUGACGUCAAGUCAUCAUGGCCCUUACGGCCAGGGCUACACACGUGCUACAAUGGUCGGUACAAAGGGUUGCCAAGCCGCGAGGUGGAGCUAAUCCCAUAAAACCGAUCGUAGUCCGGAUCGCAGUCUGCAACUCGACUGCGUGAAGUCGGAAUCGCUAGUAAUCGUGAAUCAGAAUGUCACGGUGAAUACGUUCCCGGGCCUUGUACACACCGCCCGUCACACCAUGGGAGUGGGUUGCUCCAGAAGUAGCUAGUCUAACCGCAAGGGGGACGGUUACCACGGAGUGAUUCAUGACUGGGGUGAAGUCGUAACAAGGUAGCCGU